AUUGUCUUCCUUGGCACCUGGCUUUUUGAAUGCUUCAGAGGGCCUCUGAAGUGUCCAGGAAAGAGAGGUAAUUGUGACUCCAUACUAUGGGACACCCCCCUCAGCUGCAUCCUCCAAACUAGAAAGAGUUAAUUUCCCAAACCUUAAACUACUUGGCUUGGGAUUGGAUUCAGAGGAAGGGAGCUCAGAAGCCCAACAUGCCUGCAAAAGGGCCAUCAGACUCCAAACAGUUAUGCAACUGGAGCCUCCUGAGGAUGACCCCUUCUGCCUGGGACCCUUAGAUCAGCCUCUAGAGAAGCUUUGACUGCUGUUUCCCCAAAACAGCACCCCCUGCCAUCAGGAAGCAGAGAACAAGAAGAUUUAUACUAGCCAUGCAAGGAAUCUUUGGAAGUCUAACAGACCUGACUUGAAGAGAAGGCUUUAAACAAGAAAUUCUUCAUUCUGGAACAGUGAUUCUUAAAGUGCGGUUCAGAGACCCUGGGAGACACUGACAUUCUUUCAGAGUGUGAGUGAGGAUUUCCUCUUUGCAACUACAAUCUGUGUAAGGUUGGAUUUUCUUUACAUACAUAAACUAAAAUAAGAUUGCAAUAAGAUGAAUGCAGAAGCAGAUAAGAGAAUCCAGCUGUCUUAAGUUAGACUUCACAGAGAUUUGCAAAAAUCCAAACAAGACCACUCUCGUCAUUAAAGUUAUUUUCCAUUUGUUAUGGUGAACUUAUUUUGCAGGAAAUUUGUUAUUUAUAGUAACAUACAAUUUUGUUUUUUGAUCAUUUUAAAUAAAUUAAUAAAUAUUAUAAGUUUUCUAUUUUUAAAAUUAUACAUGUCAGAAAAGAACAGUUCUUUCAGGUCCUCAACAAUUUUAAGACUAUUAACUUGUUUUGGAUCAAAAAGUUCUAGAUUUGCUAUUCUAGACAUGAAUCCUUUGAAAUUAAUUGGCUUCAUAAGUAUAUUUUUCAAGUUUGUGGCUUGUCCUGUAACCUUCUACUGUGUAGAAGUUUUAAAUUUUAAUUUAAAGAAAUUUAAAAUUUUUUCAUUUUUGUUUGUGCUUUUGGUG
Molecule: long non-coding RNA, 1051 nt
Filed under: Homo sapiens (human)
Lineage: Eukaryota; Metazoa; Chordata; Mammalia; Primates; Hominidae
Description: HSALNT0339222
Source: RNAcentral